GAUGAACGCUGGCGGCGUGCCUAAUACAUGCAAGUCGAGCGAACGGACGAUAAGCGUUCUUCUCUACUGGUAGCGACGGACGGGUGGGUAACAAGUGCAUAACCUUCCCAUAAUACUUGGGGAACUUCGUGGAGCCGGUUCUACUACCGCAUAAUAUUUUGUACCGGAUAGUUCAAAAGUUAUACACGGUCUUGCCGUCACUAUUAGAUGGUGCGGCGCUGGAUUAGCUAGUUGGUAAGGUAAAGGCCCACCAAGGCGACGAUGCGUAGCUGAUCUGAGAGGAUGAUCAGCCACACUGGAACUGAGACACGGUCCAGACUCCUACGGGAGGCAGCAGUGGGGAAUAUUGGACAAUGGGCGCAAGCCUGAUCCAGCCAUACCGCGUGGGUGAAGAAGGCCUUCGGGUUGUAAAGCCCUUUUGUUGGGAAAGAAAAGCAGCAGGUUAAUACCCCGCUGUUCUGACGGUACCCAAAGAAUAAGCACCGGCUAACUUCGUG
This 497-nucleotide ribosomal RNA is filed under the name uncultured bacterium. RNAcentral's name for it is "partial 16S ribosomal RNA". It matches the Rfam family "Bacterial small subunit ribosomal RNA", at positions 28 to 507 of the family's 1533-position model. The record is from RNAcentral.